GUAGGGAAUAUUGGGCAAUGGUCGGAAGACUGACCCAGCCAUGCCGCGUGCAGGAAGACGGCCCUCUGGGUUGUAAACUGCUUUUAUCUGGGAAGAAAAAGGCCAUGCGUGGCAAAUUGCCGGUACCAGAUGAAUAAGCACCGGCUAACUCCGUGCCAGCAGCCGCGGUAAUACGGAGGGUGCGAGCGUUGUCCGGAUUUAUUGGGUUUAAAGGGUGCGUAGGCGGCUGAUUAAGUCAGCGGUGAAAGACUUCGGCUUAACCGGGGCAGUGCCGUUGAUACUGGUUGGCUUGAGUGUCGGAGGGGUACAUGGAAUUGAUGGUGUAGCGGUGAAAUGCAUAGAUACCAUCAGGAACACCGAUAGCGAAGGCAUUGUACUGGCCGACAACUGACGCUGAUGCACGAAAGUGUGGGGAUCGAACAGGAUUAGAAACCCCAGUAGUCC
This 444-nucleotide ribosomal RNA is filed under the name uncultured bacterium. Its description in RNAcentral is "bacterial SSU rRNA". It matches the Rfam family "Bacterial small subunit ribosomal RNA", at positions 354 to 796 of the family's 1533-position model. The record is from RNAcentral.